UCUGGAUUCUCUUGCAUCUUUCUCUUAACUCCUUCCGGAGCAUGUUUUAACAGAGCUAUUCUGAACAGAGGCUGCUGUGAUUCUUUAUCUGGGUUCACCCCCGUAGCCCCCGCCCACUCUGUCUUUGCUCUUUCUAUGAACGUGCGUCCGCUCUCCCCGUUCUUAAUCUUAAACACCAAGCUGUGGAGCUUGCCCGCUGGUAUGGGAUACUUUUGUCUAAUAGCAUUACCGUAGGAGGUAGCAUAGGGUGUCUAGGUGUCAUCUGAU
Sebastes umbrosus (honeycomb rockfish) is the source of this 267-nucleotide long non-coding RNA. RefSeq lists it as uncharacterized. Lineage: Eukaryota; Metazoa; Chordata; Actinopteri; Perciformes; Sebastidae. The record is from RefSeq and is a predicted model, not a curated record. The transcript has 3 exons.